UUCCCUUUUCUUAUGGAUCCAGAAGUUCUGAAAAGUACACUCAAUCCGUGAAGCCAUUAGGAGCUGAAAUACUGUUAGGCUUUUGCUCAGUCAUCCUUACACUGCGAUUUUUGUUCUCAAGCUUUUUGUUACCUCAGGGUCACAAGAUGACUUCAGGCAGGAUAACAGGGACCUGAAAGUUAUGGCCACAGAGUGAGUAGGAAUUUUGAGCCCAGCCGGACCAGGCCAGGCCAGACCACAGUGAUGGGGGAGGGAGCUCCACUGCCCGAGGAGAGCAGUGAGGAGCACAGUUCACGCAACAGGAUGAAGCUGGCCGAGGAGGAUAACCCCCUCUGGUGCCCACGUGCAGGCUGUCUAUAGCAACCUGGUCUGAUGACAUCGAGAGGACAUGGAAUGAAAGUAACAAAUGACAACUUUUAAAAAAUCUAGAGAAAACUUUCUUUAUGAAAAAUAAGAAGGCACCCCCGAGGGCUCUUUCUCUAAUGAACCACAUUCGCCUUAAAGGAAAUACCUGGGAGUGUCCCAGACCCUUCAGAGGGCUGAGGUUGGGGAUGUAGCCUGAGAGAUCCAUGUUCCCAUUGAUCUUUCCUAGUGAAACGUCCUGUGUGUCUUCUCAGGCAUGGUGUGGCAGAUGCCUGUGGAGCUGCCUUCAUCCAUCAGUCGCAUGCAGUGCCCUCUUUCCAACACUGUGUGCUCUUCCUCAAAGGGGAAAAACCCACGCUUUAUCAGUAGCCCUCCCUGUUUCAUGAAAACAUCAGGCACCCAAGUUCUAUCUGUCUUGUUGCUUCAUCAUCUCUAAGGAGUUACCAUCAUCUAAAUAAUCUAAAACUGGUUGCCACUACAUCCAGUUCCAGCCAGUGGAAGGAGGGAGGGAGAAAGCAGGUGCACCUCAUUUUUAAGGAUAUGAUCUAGAAAGCUCUCAUCCAUUGGCCACCACUUAAAGCUUUAUUCUGAGCAUCUUGUAUGCUUGACCUUUGCUUUCCUAGAAUUUAUGUUCUCCUGGGGAACACAAGGGAGAAACAGUAUGUAAUGCGUCAGGGAGUGAUAAAUGCUAAUAAGAAGGUAAAAGUGCAGUUAAGGGAUAGAGAUAGAGAUGGCACUUGAGAUAAAGUCAGGAACAGCCUUGUUGAGAAGGGUACGUGUAUUCAGGGAUCUGAAGGGAAGUGGGCUCCAGGGAGGAGGAACAGCAUGUAUAAAUGCCCUGUGGUGGGAAUGGGCUGUGCAUAUUUAGGGAGCAGGGGUGUGGCCAGUGCACCUGGAGGAAGUGAAAUUGCAGCAAUGUCAGUGGGAUCAUAGAGACCACUGUUGGCUAGGGUAAAGUAAUGGUCUUGAAUGUGAGUGAGAUGAAAACCUCUGCAAAUUUAUGACAUGAUGGAAUAUUUUUUUGGAAAAAAACAUUUAAAAAAAUUUAAGUUAUAAUAUCUGCAGUCUGUGUAAACGUAAGAGCUAAAACUAUAAAACUCUUAGAACAAAACAUAGGACAGAAGCUUUAUGACACAGGAUUUGGCAGUGAUUUUGUAGAUGUGACACCAAAGAAACAGGCAAUGACAGAAGCAAUAGGCAAAUUCGACAUCAAAAUUUUAAAUGUUUAUGCAUCAAAGAAUACAAUCAACAGAAUAAAAAGGCAACCUAUACAAUGGGAGAAAAUAUUUAAAAAUCAUAUAUCUGAACAUUUGCUUAUCACAUAUCUAAUAAUGCCCAGAGUAUAUAAAGAACUCCUAAAAUUCAGCAGUAACUAAACAACCCAAUUCAAAAAUGGGUGAAAGUUGCAAAACCAUAUGAAUGUACUUAAUGGACACUAAAAAAAUCACUAACAAUGGCUAAUUUUGUUAUGUAUAUUUUACCACAAUUUUUAAAAAAUGAAUUAUAAAAUGAAUAGGCAAAGAACCUGAAAAGAUAUUUCACCAAAGAAGUUAUCCAAAUGGCCAGUAAACACAAGAUGCUCAACAUUGCUAAUCAUUAAGGAAUACAAAUCAAAACCACAAUGACAGAACACCUCACACCGAUUAGGUAUGAUCAAAAACUGGAAAUUGGAACCCUUAUGCACUGCUGAUGGGAAUGUAAAGUGGUGUGGCUGCUGUGGAAAGCAGCCUGUAAGUUCCUCAAAAAAUUAAACAGGAGUUCCUGUUGUGGCACAGCAGAAACGAAUCUGACUAGGAACCAUGAGAUUGCAGGUUCAAUCCCUGUCCUUACUCAUGGAUUAAGGAUCUGGCAUGGCCAUGAGCUGUGGUGUGUAGGUCGCAGACGUGGCUCAGAUCUCAUGUUGCUGUGGCUGUAGCGUAAGCCAGUGGCUACAGCUCUGAUUAGACCCCUAGCCUGGGAACCUCCAUAUGCCAUGAGCGUGGCCCUAAAAAGGAAAAUAAAAGGGGGGGGAUUAUUUCACUCAAUCGAAGGAAAAUUGCAGCCAUUACAAUAAUGAUGAUUAUGUAUCAAUGUAUAAUAUGCUUUGAAGUUAUGUUAAAUCAAGAAAGAUUACAAAACAGCACUCAGACUGGGAGUCCAGCUAUGUCAGGAAGUGUGUACACAAAAAGAGAAAAAAAUAUUCUGAUCACCUACUGUGUGCUUGGCCUCCUGCUGAGUCUUAAGGAUACACAAAUUAGUAAAAUGUGGUCAUGUUAUGGCUCUUUGUCAUUAUGCUUGCACACAGUGAUGUGCAGGUAAGUGUUUAGUAGCCAUGUAUUGGGGUUAGGGGGAGGGAAGUGUUUUGUAAUUUUGCCAGUUUCUAUGGUGUAAGCAUUUCCAGUGUGGCUGACUUCAAGCUGCCAAUGGAACUUUACUGAAAAGAAAAGAUGCACACAGUAGCUCUUCAGCGUCAGUACAAGCUGGCUCCUGCGUGUCCCAGGAGCCUUCCUCUGCCUAAUGUCUACCAGUUGGGAGGUGGUUGUUAAAUAAACAGUAAUUUAUUCAUAGAAUGGGAUUCUCAUCAUUCAUGAGAAAAAUCAAACUGUUUCUUUUUUUUAUGGCCGUACCCAAGGCAAUGAAAGUUCCCAGGCCCAGGAUCAGAUCCUUUUAAAUCUAGUGCUCUGCGGUCAGAUUCUAUUUUUUUUUUAACUUUUUUUUUUUUUUUUUUUGCUUUUUAGGGCCUCACCCAAGGCAUACGGAAGUUCCCAAGCUAGGGGUCAAAUCAGAGCUGCAGCUGCCAGCCUGCACCACAGCCACAGUAACACUGUGGGAUCUGAGCUGUGUCUGUGACCUUCACCACAGUUCACAGCACCACUGAAUCCUUAACCCACUGAGCAAGGCCAGGGAUUGAACCUACAUCCUCAUGGAUACCAGUUGAGUUCCUUACUGGUGAGCCAUGACAGGAACUCCUGCAGGUCAGAUUUUUAACCCACUGUGCCACAGUAGGAACUCCCAGAAGAUCACACUUUGAAGUAAUCAGUCAUAUUUGAAAAAGUUCAAGGUUUAUCUUCAAGUUUAAACACAACUAGGUGUGAGUGAGAACAAUGAAAAUCGAGGUAUAAGGAUUAUGAGGAUAUCUCCUCCAUAAAAUCAAACAGGAUAUUGGCAGAAAUUGUCCAAGUCCACGUUCUGACAAGUAUGGAAAUUAGCCAGUCUUGACACCACCUAAAGAACAUUUAUUCAGGAGUUCCUGUCGUGGUGCAGUGGAAACAAAUCCGACUAAGAACAAUGAGGCUGCAGGUUCGAUCCCUGGCCUCGAUCAGCAGGUUAAGGAUCUGGCAUUGCUGUGAGCUGUGGUGUAGGUCACAGACUCUGCUCGGAUCCUGCAUUGCUGUGGCUUGGUGUAGGCCUGCAGCUGUAGCUCCAAUUGGACCCCCAGCCUGGGAAUCUCCAUAUGCCGCGGGUUCAGCCCUAAAAAGCCAAAAAGAAAAAGAACAUUUAUUCAAGAAUAGGUGAACAGAGAGUUCCCAUUGUGGCACAGUGGAAACGAAUCUGAAUAGUAUCCAUGAGGAUGUAGCUUUGAUUCCUGGCCUCAAUCAGUGGGUCAUGGAUCUGGUGUUGCUGUGAGCUGUGGUGAAGGUCGCAGCCAAGGCUCAGAUCCGGCAUUGCUAUGGAUGUAGUGUAGGCCUGGAAACUUACAUUUGCCACUGGUGUGGCCCUAAAACUUGCCCUAGGCUCAUCCUCUAUUGUCCAGGUUCACAGUACCUUCAAAAAUAACAGCCUGCUGGAGUUCCCAUUGUGGCUCAGUGGAAAGGAAUCUGACUAGUGUUCAUGAAGACCUAGGUUUGAUUUCUGGCCUCGAUCAGUGGGUUAAGGAUCUGGCAUUGCCAUGGCUGUGGUGUAGGCCAGUGGCUACAGACCUAUUUGACCCCUAGCCUGGGAACCUCCAUAUGCCUCAGGUGCAGCCCUAAAAAGACCAAAAAAAAACACCAAAUAGCCUGCAAUUCUGGUGCAGCAUAACUGCUACCUGAGGAGGGCAUUCUCACAUGGCUGCCAUUGCUUGAACUGUCUGGUAGUUCCCUGAAAGUUGCAAGUUACCUGGGUUUUGUAUUUGGCCUGACUUGGAGCUCACCCAGUGUGAAAAGUCUUCUCUCUAGGGGACAUUAAAACAAACAGACAAACAGUUACAAGCAAGUGUUUAACUAUGUGAUUGUUAGAGGCAGCAGAUAAGACUUGGGUCAAUCAAUAGACCUAAAACAUAAAUAAAACAGGAGUUCCCGUCGUGGCGCAGUGGUUAACGAAUCCGACUAGGAACCAUGAGGUUGCGGGUUCAGUCCCUGCCCUUGCUCAGUGGGUUGACAUCUGGCGUUGCCAUGAGCUGUGGUGUAGGUUGCAGACGCGGCUCGGAUUCUGAGUUGCUGUGGCUCUGGCCUAGGCCGGCGGCUACAGCUCCAAUUAGACCCCUAGCCUAGGAACCUCCAUAUGCCGCGGGGAGCGGCCCAAGAAAUAGCUAAAAGACAAAAAA
RNAcentral lists this long non-coding RNA (4867 nucleotides) under Sus scrofa (pig). RNAcentral describes it as "lncRNA (ENSSSCG00005033834.1)". Lineage: Eukaryota; Metazoa; Chordata; Mammalia; Artiodactyla; Suidae. The record is from RNAcentral.